GAUGAAGAACGCAGCGAAAUGCGAUAAGUAAUGUGAAUUGCAGAAUUCAGUGAAUCAUCGAAUCUUUGAACGCACCUUGCGCCCUUUGGCCAUUCCGAAGGGCAUGCCUGUUUGAGUAUCAUGAACACCUCAACUCUUUAUGGUUUUCCAUGAUGAGCUUGGACUCUGGGGGUUUUGCUGGCUCACAGUCGGCUCCUCUAAGAUGAAUCAGCUUACCAGUGUUUGGUGGGUAUCAUGGGUGUGAUAACUAUCUACGCUUGUGGUUUUUCCACCAGGUAACCUUCAGCAGUGGAGGUUCGCUGGAGCUCAUAGAUGUCUCUCCUCAGUGAGGACAGCCCUUUGAAUGUUUGAUCUCAAAUCAGGUAGGACUACCCGCUGAACUUAAGCAUAUCAAUAAGCGGAGGA
RNAcentral lists this unclassified non-coding RNA (405 nucleotides) under soil metagenome. RNAcentral describes it as "partial contains 5.8S ribosomal RNA, internal transcribed spacer 2, and large subunit ribosomal RNA". The stretch from base 1 to 121 matches the Rfam family "5.8S ribosomal RNA", at positions 35 to 154 of the family's 154-position model. The record is from RNAcentral.